RNAcentral lists this ribosomal RNA (371 nucleotides) under uncultured bacterium. Its description in RNAcentral is "bacterial SSU rRNA". It matches the Rfam family "Bacterial small subunit ribosomal RNA", at positions 527 to 896 of the family's 1533-position model. The record is from RNAcentral.
GUACCGUACGAGCGUUAUUCGGAAUUACUGGGCUUAAAGAGUCCGUAGGCGGCUUAAAAGGUGAGGUGUGAAAUCCCACGGCUUAACCGUGGAAUUGCGCUUCAGACCAUAAGGCUUGAGGGAGAUAGAGGAAAGCGGAACUGAUGGUGGAGCGGUGAAAUGCGUUGAUAUCAUCAGGAACACCGGUGGCGAAAGCGGCUUUCUGGGUCUCUUCUGACGCUGAGGGACGAAAGCUAGGGGAGCGAACGGGAUUAGAUACCCCGGUAGUCCUAGCUGUAAACGAUGAGCACUAGUUCGAGGGGACCCCCACAUCCUCUUGGACGUAGCGAAAGUGUUAAGUGCUCCGCCUGGGGAGUAUGGUCGCAAGGCUG